AGUUCAAAUAAGUGUUCUUCUUUUUCAUCACCCUCUCCGGGGAUGAUUGAUUAUUUUUCUAUACACAGCAGUGCAGCAUCUGUCAGUACUUCUGGUGGGC
RNAcentral lists this non-coding RNA (100 nucleotides) under Atlantibacter hermannii NBRC 105704. RNAcentral describes it as "ES056 sRNA". It matches the Rfam family "ES056 sRNA". From Rfam's summary of the family: Differentially expressed under several chemical stress and fermentation conditions. Lineage: Bacteria; Pseudomonadati; Pseudomonadota; Gammaproteobacteria; Enterobacterales; Enterobacteriaceae. The record is from Rfam by way of RNAcentral.